This 74-nucleotide transfer RNA is filed under the name Saprospiraceae bacterium. RNAcentral's name for it is "tRNA-Lys". It matches the Rfam family "tRNA". From Rfam's summary of the family: Transfer RNA (tRNA) molecules are approximately 80 nucleotides in length. Their secondary structure includes four short double-helical elements and three loops (D, anti-codon, and T loops). The record is from RNAcentral. Lineage: Bacteria; Pseudomonadati; Bacteroidota; Saprospiria; Saprospirales; Saprospiraceae.
GACUCUGUAGCUCAGUUGGCGGUAGCAUCGGACUUUUAAUCCGAGGGUCGUGGGUUCGACUCCCACCAGGGUCA